AUGGGGUCAGCUUCUCUCCUGCUAUGGGUACUGCUGCUCUGGGUUCCAGGUUCUACUGCAGACAUUGUGCUGACCCAGUCUCCGCCUUCACUGAGUGUGUCUCUAGGGCAAAGGGCUACCUUGUCUUGUAGGUCCAGCCAGAGUGUCACUAUACGUAGAACUCAUCUUAUGAACUGGUAUCAACAGAGACCAGGACAGCCCCCACAACUCCUCAUCUAUGCAGCAUCCAACCUAGAAUCUGGGGUCCCUGCCAGGUUCAGUGGCAGUGGGUCUGGGACAGACUUCACCCUCACCAUCAAUCCUGUGGAGGCUGAUGAUGCUGCAACCUAUUACUGUCAGCAGACUAGAGAGCUUCCUCCCACAGUGCUCUAG
This is a non-coding RNA of Peromyscus californicus insignis, 372 nucleotides long. NCBI's taxonomy places the organism in Eukaryota, Metazoa, Chordata, Mammalia, Rodentia, Cricetidae. The record is from the annotation of a RefSeq genome assembly.